UUAUGAUGAAUAUUAUCAGUUAUCCCUGUCAGAUAUUACUAUGUUGAUAACUUUUACUGUCUGAA
This 65-nucleotide small RNA is filed under the name Cinara cedri. Lineage: Eukaryota; Metazoa; Arthropoda; Insecta; Hemiptera; Aphididae. The record is from RNAcentral.